RNAcentral lists this ribosomal RNA (818 nucleotides) under uncultured bacterium. RNAcentral's name for it is "bacterial SSU rRNA". It matches the Rfam family "Bacterial small subunit ribosomal RNA", at positions 73 to 900 of the family's 1533-position model. The record is from RNAcentral.
GUCGUCUUCGGACGGCGAGUAAAGUGGCGGACGGGUGAGUAACACGUGGAUGAUCUGCCCUUUGGCGGGGGAUAACCCGGCGAAAGCCGGGCUAAUACCGCAUGAGCUCCUGGGAGCGAUUUUGGGAGGAAAGGCCCUUCGGGGCCGCCGAAGGAGGAGUCCGCGGCCGAUUAGCUGGUUGGUGGGGUAAUGGCCUACCAAGGCGUCGAUCGGUAGCCGGUCUGAGAGGACGGACGGCCACACUGGGACUGAGACACGGCCCAGACUCCUACGGGAGGCAGCAGUGGGGAAUUUUGCGCAAUGGGCGAGGAGCCUGACGCAGCAACGCCGCGUGGAGGAAGAAGGCCUUCGGGUCGUAAACUCCUGUUCACGGGGAAGAACGAUCUGACGGUACCCGUGGAGGAAGCCCCGGCUAACUCCGUGCCAGCAGCCGCGGUAACACGGGGGGGGCGAGCGUUGUUCGGAUUUACUGGGCGUAAAGGGCGCGUAGGCGGCGCCGGAAGUCCUGGGUGAAAGGUGCCGGCUCAACCGGUCACAGUGCCUGGGAAACCACGGUGCUUGAGUGCUGGAGAGGGAAGCGGAAUUCCUGGUGUAGCGGUGAAAUGCGUAGAUAUCAGGAGGAACACUCGAGGCGAAGGCGGCUUCCUGGACAGACACUGACGCUGAGGCGCGAAAGCUAGGGGAGCAAACAGGAUUAGAUACCCUGGUAGUCCUAGCUGUAAACGAUGGGUACUUGGUGUGGGGGGUGUCGAUUCCCUCCGUGCCGGCGAUAACUCGUUAAGUACCCCGCCUGGGGAGUACGGUCGCAAGGCUGAAAC